Long non-coding RNA from Phacochoerus africanus (Common warthog), 649 nucleotides. RefSeq lists it as uncharacterized. The record is from RefSeq and is a predicted model, not a curated record. The transcript has 3 exons. NCBI's taxonomy places the organism in Eukaryota, Metazoa, Chordata, Mammalia, Artiodactyla, Suidae.
GCUUGGGGGGCUUUAAGGAAGCAAAUGGACUUUCAGAACAGAGAUUGUCAAUAAAGGUGUUGUGCCAUGUUAAAGACCCUCUUGUCAUUUUUAUUAUUCAUGGAUGGACGCUAAUUCUACAAGUCAGUUUAAGUGCUAUGGAGUCCCAUUUGCACCUGGAAUGCUGGGAACAGGGGAUGGAGCAGCAAGAAGCAAUUGAAAGGAUUAGGAUGGAACCUUCCUCAAGCUUCACAGGCUUGUCUGCUGGCCACAGACACCAUUAUGGUAUAAGAUAUGUUUAAUAUUAAGACCAUAAAAAGGGCCUUCACACUCCUGAAAAUUCUGAGGAAAUGCUGAGCCUUUCUUUAGCCCAUAUACUUCACUCUGUUGGCCCAGGAAUCUUGGCUAAAGAUAGUUUCAUCCAGCUCACAUGCUUGGGUUUUGUCACUUCAUGUCAUAACCUCCACAUUACUUAAAUAUAGUUUUAAAAUGCAUUAAACAGAAAUGCUGAUAUAAGCCUAAAUGUAGCUGUACUUGCUGUUUCUGCUCUAAGUUCAUUCAUGUGGUGGAUUUAGUUCAAAAGCCCAGAACAGCCCUGCUUAACAGUAAGGAAACAAAAUCCUCUUGGCCUCAACAGAGGCUAGGGAGAUGUCAGAGCAGAGGGAACUCA